Molecule: ribosomal RNA, 365 nt
Filed under: uncultured Rhodoferax sp.
Lineage: Bacteria; Pseudomonadati; Pseudomonadota; Betaproteobacteria; Burkholderiales; Comamonadaceae
Description: bacterial SSU rRNA
Rfam family: Bacterial small subunit ribosomal RNA
Source: RNAcentral
GUUACUUCGGUACAUCGGUGACAGGUGGUGCAUGGUUGUCGUCAGCUCGUGUCGUGAGAUGUUGGUUAAGUCCCGCAACGAGCGCAACCCUUGUCAUUAGUUGCUACAUUCAGUUGGGCGCUCUAAUGAGACUGCCGGUGACAAGCCGGAGGAAGGUGGGGAUGACGUCAAGUCCUCAUGGCCCUUAUAGGUGGGGCUACACACGUCAUACAAUGGCUGGUACAAAGGGUUGCCAACCCGCGAGGGGGAGCCAAUCCCAUAAAGCCAGUCGUAGUCCGGAUCGUUCUCUGCAACUCGAGAGCAUGAAGUCGGAAUCGCUAGUAAUCGCGGAUCAGCAUGUCGCGGUGAAUACGUUCCCGGGUCUU